This 253-nucleotide ribosomal RNA is filed under the name uncultured bacterium. Its description in RNAcentral is "partial 16S ribosomal RNA". It matches the Rfam family "Bacterial small subunit ribosomal RNA", at positions 524 to 776 of the family's 1533-position model. The record is from RNAcentral.
UACAGAGGGGGCAAGCGUUGUUCGGAAUUACUGGGCGUAAAGGGCGCGUAGGCGGCCCGCUAAGUCGAACGUGAAAUCCCCGAGCUCAACUCGGGAACUGCGUCCGAUACUGGCGGGCUUGAAUCCGGGAGAGGGAUGCGGAAUUCCAGGUGUAGCGGUGAAAUGCGUAGAUAUUGGGAAGAACACCGGUGGCGAAGGCGGCCAUCUGGACCACAACUGACGCUGAGGCGCGAAAGCGUGGGGAGCAAACAGG